AGCGUACACGGUGGAUGCCCUGGCAGUCAGAGGCGAUGAAGGACGUGCUAAUCUGCGAAAAGCGUCGGUAAGGUGAUAUGAACCGUUAUAACCGGCGAUGUCCGAAUGGGGAAACCCAGUGCAAUUCGUUGCACUAUCGUUAACUGAAUACAUAGGUUAACGAGGCGAACCGGGGGAACUGAAACAUCUAAGUACCCCGAGGAAAAGAAAUCAACCGAGAUUCCCCCAGUAGCGGCGAGCGAACGGGGAGCAGCCCAGAGUCUGAAUCAGCUUGUGUGUUAGUGGAACGGUCUGGAAAGUCCGACGGUACAGGGUGAUAGUCCCGUACACCAAAAUGCACAGGUUGUGAACUCGAAGAGUAGGGCGGGACACGUGGUAUCCUGUCUGAAUAUGGGGGGACCAUCCUCCAAGGCUAAAUACUCCUGACUGACCGAUAGUGAACCAGUACCGUGAGGGAAAGGCGAAAAGAACCCCGGCGAGGGGAGUGAAAAAGAACCUGAAACCGUGUACGUACAAGCAGUGGGAGCACCUUCGGGUGUGACUGCGUACCUUUUGUAUAAUGGGUCAGCGACUUAUAUUCUGUAGCAAGGUUAACCGUAUAGGGGAGCCGCAGGGAAACCGAGUCUUAACUGGGCGUUAAGUUGCAGGGUAUAGACCCGAAACCCGGUGAUCUAGCCAUGGGCAGGUUGAAGGUUGGGUAACACUAACUGGAGGACCGAACCGACUAAUGUUGAAAAAUUAGCGGAUGACUUGUGGCUGGGGGUGAAAGGCCAAUCAAACCGGGAGAUAGCUGGUUCUCCCCGAAAGCUAUUUAGGUAGCGCCUCGUGAAUUCAUCUUCGGGGGUAGAGCACUGUUUCGGCUAGGGGGUCAUCCCGACUUACCAACCCGAUGCAAACUACGAAUACCGAAGAAUGUUAUCACGGGAGACACACGGCGGGUGCUAACGUCCGUCGUGAAGAGGGAAACAACCCAGACCGCCAGCUAAGGUCCCAAAGUCAUGGUUAAGUGGGAAACGAUGUGGGAAGGCACAGACAGCCAGGAUGUUGGCUUAGAAGCAGCCAUCAUUUAAAGAAAGCGUAAUAGCUCACUGGUCGAGUCGGCCUGCGCGGAAGAUGUAACGGGGCUAAACCAUGCACCGAAGCUGCGGCAGCGACGCUUAUGCGUUGUUGGGUAGGGGAGCGUUCUGUAAGCCUGCGAAGGUGGCCUGUGAGGGCUGCUGGAGGUAUCAGAAGUGCGAAUGCUGACAUAAGUAACGAUAAAGCGGGUGAAAAGCCCGCUCGCCGGAAGACCAAGGGUUCCUGUCCAACGUUAAUCGGGGCAGGGUGAGUCGACCCCUAAGGCGAGGCCGAAAGGCGUAGUCGAUGGGAAACAGGUUAAUAUUCCUGUACUUGGUGUUACUGCGAAGGGGGGACGGAGAAGGCUAUGUUAGCCGGGCGACGGUUGUCCCGGUUUAAGCAUGUAGGCGGAGGUUCCAGGUAAAUCCGGUACCUUUUAACGCUGAGGUGUGAUGACGAGGCACUACGGUGCUGAAGUAACAAAUGCCCUGCUUCCAGGAAAAGCCUCUAAGCAUCAGGUAACAUUAAAUCGUACCCCAAACCGACACAGGUGGUCAGGUAGAGAAUACCAAGGCGCUUGAGAGAACUCGGGUGAAGGAACUAGGCAAAAUGGUGCCGUAACUUCGGGAGAAGGCACGCUGGUGUGUAGGUGAAGUCCCUGCGGACGGAGCUGAGACCAGUCGAAGAUACCAGCUGGCUGCAACUGUUUAUUAAAAACACAGCACUGUGCAAACACGAAAGUGGACGUAUACGGUGUGACGCCUGCCCGGUGCCGGAAGGUUAAUUGAUGGGGUUAUCCGUAAGGAGAAGCUCUUGAUCGAAGCCCCGGUAAACGGCGGCCGUAACUAUAACGGUCCUAAGGUAGCGAAAUUCCUUGUCGGGUAAGUUCCGACCUGCACGAAUGGCGUAAUGAUGGCCAGGCUGUCUCCACCCGAGACUCAGUGAAAUUGAACUCGCUGUGAAGAUGCAGUGUACCCGCGGCAAGACGGAAAGACCCCGUGAACCUUUACUAUAGCUUGACACUGAACAUUGAGCCUUGAUGUGUAGGAUAGGUGGGAGGCUUUGAAGCGUGGACGCCAGUCUGCGUGGAGCCAACCUUGAAAUACCACCCUUUAAUGUUUGAUGUUCUAACGUUGGCCCCUUAUCGGGGUUGCGGACAGUGUCUGGUGGGUAGUUUGACUGGGGCGGUCUCCUCCCAAAGAGUAACGGAGGAGCACGAAGGUUAGCUAAUCCUGGUCGGACAUCAGGAGGUUAGUGCAAUGGCAUAAGCUAGCUUGACUGCGAGCGUGACGGCGCGAGCAGGUGCGAAAGCAGGUCAUAGUGAUCCGGUGGUUCUGAAUGGAAGGGCCAUCGCUCAACGGAUAAAAGGUACUCCGGGGAUAACAGGCUGAUACCGCCCAAGAGUUCAUAUCGACGGCGGUGUUUGGCACCUCGAUGUCGGCUCAUCACAUCCUGGGGCUGAAGUAGGUCCCAAGGGUAUGGCUGUUCGCCAUUUAAAGUGGUACGCGAGCUGGGUUUAGAACGUCGUGAGACAGUUCGGUCCCUAUCUGCCGUGGGCGCUGGAGAAUUGAGGGGGGCUGCUCCUAGUACGAGAGGACCGGAGUGGACGCAUCACUGGUGUUCGGGUUGUCAUGCCAAUGGCACUGCCCGGUAGCUAAAUGCGGAAGAGAUAAGUGCUGAAAGCAUCUAAGCACGAAACUUGCCCCGAGAUGAGUUCU
RNAcentral lists this ribosomal RNA (2774 nucleotides) under Klebsiella pneumoniae. RNAcentral's name for it is "bacterial LSU rRNA". It matches the Rfam family "Bacterial large subunit ribosomal RNA". Lineage: Bacteria; Pseudomonadati; Pseudomonadota; Gammaproteobacteria; Enterobacterales; Enterobacteriaceae. The record is from RNAcentral.